This 200-nucleotide ribosomal RNA is filed under the name uncultured bacterium. Its description in RNAcentral is "partial 16S ribosomal RNA". It matches the Rfam family "Bacterial small subunit ribosomal RNA", at positions 8 to 224 of the family's 1533-position model. The record is from RNAcentral.
AGAGUUUGAUCAUGGCUCAGAAUCAACGCUGGCGGCGCGCUUAACACAUGCAAGUCGAACGAGAAAGUCCGCAAGGAUGAGUACAGUGGCGCACGGGUGAGUAACACGUGGGUGAUCUGACUCUUAGUGGGGAAUAACCCUGGGAAACCGUGGUUAAUACCGCAUAAUCCCGAGAGGGGAAAGCAGCAAUGCGCUGAGAG